GCCAGGCGUGGUGGCGCAUGCCUGUAAUCCCAGCUACUCAGGAGACUGAGGCAGGAGAAUCACUUGAACCCAGGAGGUGGAGAUUCCAGUGAGCCAAGAUUGCACCACUGCUCUCCAGCCUGGGUGACAGAGUGAGACUCUGUCUCAA
Molecule: non-coding RNA, 148 nt
Organism: Gorilla gorilla gorilla (western lowland gorilla)
Lineage: Eukaryota; Metazoa; Chordata; Mammalia; Primates; Hominidae
Rfam family: Metazoan signal recognition particle RNA
About the family: The signal recognition particle (SRP) is a universally conserved ribonucleoprotein. It is involved in the co-translational targeting of proteins to membranes.
Source: Rfam